CCUACGGGAGGCAGCAGUGGGGAAUAUUGCGCAAUGGGCGAAAGCCUGACGCAGCGACGCCGCGUGAGGGAUGAAGGUCUUCGGAUCGUAAACCUCUGUCAGCAGGGAAGAACGGUCACUGUGCUAAUCAGCAGUGAAUUGACGGUACCUGCAAAGGAAGCACCGGCUAACUCCGUGCCAGCAGCCGCGGUAAUACGGAGGGUGCGAGCGUUAAUCGGAAUUACUGGGCGUAAAGCGCUCGUAGGCGGUAUGUUAAGUCAAGGGUGAAAUCCCCGGGCUCAACUGGGGAACUGCCUGUGAUACUGGCAAACUGGAGUGUGUGAGAGGGAAGUGGAAUGCCAGGUGUAGGGGUGAAAUGCGUAGAUAUCUGGAAGAACAACAGUGGCGAAGGCGGCGAUCUGGCACAAAACUGACGCUGAGGAGCGAAAGCGUGGGUAGCAAACAGGAUUAGAUACCCCAGUAGUC
This 465-nucleotide ribosomal RNA is filed under the name uncultured bacterium. RNAcentral describes it as "partial 16S ribosomal RNA". It matches the Rfam family "Bacterial small subunit ribosomal RNA", at positions 338 to 795 of the family's 1533-position model. The record is from RNAcentral.